This 295-nucleotide ribosomal RNA is filed under the name uncultured bacterium. Its description in RNAcentral is "partial 16S ribosomal RNA". It matches the Rfam family "Bacterial small subunit ribosomal RNA", at positions 29 to 247 of the family's 1533-position model. The record is from RNAcentral.
AACGAACGCUGGCGGCAGGCUUAACACAUGCAAGUCGAGCGGGAGUAGCAAUACUCUAGCGGCGAACGGUCGCGUAACACGUAAGCAACCUGCCCGAAAGACCGGGACAACACUCCGAAAGGGGUGCUAAUACCGGAUGUGCCCAUUCCCUUGCAUGGGGGGAUGAAGUAAAACGCGCAAAAACUUCGCCCUAACCAAGCUGCUUCGCCAUUGUUCUUCGGAACCGUGUGGAGGCGUUUUGGUUAGAGUGCGGUUGUUGUGGCGGCUUUUGGAGGGGCUUGCGGCCUAUCAGAUA